This 522-nucleotide ribosomal RNA is filed under the name Haloechinothrix halophila. Its description in RNAcentral is "bacterial SSU rRNA". It matches the Rfam family "Bacterial small subunit ribosomal RNA", at positions 90 to 621 of the family's 1533-position model. Lineage: Bacteria; Bacillati; Actinomycetota; Actinomycetes; Pseudonocardiales; Pseudonocardiaceae. The record is from RNAcentral.
GAUGAGUGGCGAACGGGUGAGUAACACGUGGGUAACCUGUCCUGUACUUUGGGAUAAGCCCUGGAAACGGGGUCUAAUACCGGAUACGCAUCAUUGCCUGCAUGGGUGGUGGUGGAAAGCUCCGGCGGUAUGGGGUGGGCCCGCGGCCUAUCAGCUUGUUGGUGGGGUGAUGGCCUACCAAGGCGACGACGGGUAGCCGGCCUGAGAGGGCGACCGGCCACACUGGGACUGAGACACGGCCCAGACUCCUACGGGAGGCAGCAGUGGGGAAUAUUGCACAAUGGGCGCAAGCCUGAUGCAGCGACGCCGCGUGAGGGAUGACGGCCUUCGGGUUGUAAACCUCUUUCGCCAGGGACGAAGCCUUUCGGGGUGACGGUACCUGGAGAAGAAGCACCGGCUAACUACGUGCCAGCAGCCGCGGUAAUACGUAGGGUGCGAGCGUUGUCCGGAAUUAUUGGGCGUAAAGAGCUCGUAGGCGGUUUGUCGCGUCGGCCGUGGAAACUGGAGGCUUAACCUUCAGCG